UACAGAGACUGCAAGCGUUGUUCGGAUUCAUUGGGCGUAAAGGGUCCGUAGGCGGUCGGCUAAGUCUGAUGUGAAAUCUCGCAGCUUAACUGCGAUAGGUCAUUGGAAACUGGCCGACUCGAGGACUGGAGAGGAGACUGGAAUUGCUGGUGUAGCGGUGAAAUGCGUAGAUAUCAGCAAGAACACCGGUGGCGAAGGCGGGUCUCUGGACAGUUCCUGACGCUCAGGGACGAAAGCUAGGGGAGCAAACGGG
Molecule: ribosomal RNA, 253 nt
Filed under: uncultured bacterium
Lineage: Bacteria
Description: partial 16S ribosomal RNA
Rfam family: Bacterial small subunit ribosomal RNA
Source: RNAcentral